GCUGGGUGCGGUGGUGCAUGCCUGUAAUCCCAGCAGCUUGUGAGGCUGAAGCAGGUGGAUCAUGAACUCAAAGCCAGCCUCAGCAAAAGCGAGGUGCUGAGCAACUCAGUGAGACCCUGUCUCUA
This 125-nucleotide small RNA is filed under the name Marmota monax (woodchuck). Lineage: Eukaryota; Metazoa; Chordata; Mammalia; Rodentia; Sciuridae. The record is from RNAcentral.